UUGACCUCGGAUCAGGUAGGGAUACCCGCUGAACUUAAGCAUAUCAAUAAGCGGAGGAAAAGAAACCAACCGGGAUUGCCUCAGUAACGGCGAGUGAAGCGGCAAGAGCUCAAAUUUGAAAGCUGGCCCCCUCGGGGUCCGCGUUGUAAUUUGCAGAGGAUGCUUCGGGUGCGGCCCCUGUCUAAGUGCCCUGGAACGGGCCGUCAGAGAGGGUGAGAAUCCCGUCUUGGGCAGGGUGCCCGUGCCCGUGUGAAGCUCCUUCGACGAGUCGAGUUGUUUGGGAAUGCAGCUCUAAAUGGGUGGUAAAUUUCAUCUAAAGCUAAAUACCGGCCGGAGACCGAUAGCGCACAAGUAGAGUGAUCGAAAGAUGAAAAGCACUUUGAAAAGAGAGUUAAACAGCACGUGAAAUUGUUGAAAGGGAAGCGCUUGCGACCAGACUCGGCCCCGGGGUUCAGCCAGCACUCGUGCUGGUGUACUUCCCCGGGGGCGGGCCAGCGUCGGUUUGGGCGGCCGGUCAAAGGCCCCAGGAAUGUAUCGCCCUCCGGGGUUGUCUUAUAGCCUGGGGUGCAAUGCGGCCAGCCCGGACCGAGGAACGCGCUUCGGCACGGACGCUGGCGUAAUGGUCGCAAACGACC
Molecule: ribosomal RNA, 635 nt
Filed under: Aspergillus striatus
Lineage: Eukaryota; Fungi; Ascomycota; Eurotiomycetes; Eurotiales; Aspergillaceae
Description: eukaryotic LSU rRNA
Rfam family: Eukaryotic large subunit ribosomal RNA
Source: RNAcentral